RNAcentral lists this ribosomal RNA (465 nucleotides) under Vreelandella stevensii. RNAcentral describes it as "partial 16S ribosomal RNA". It matches the Rfam family "Bacterial small subunit ribosomal RNA", at positions 338 to 795 of the family's 1533-position model. The record is from RNAcentral. Lineage: Bacteria; Pseudomonadati; Pseudomonadota; Gammaproteobacteria; Oceanospirillales; Halomonadaceae.
CCUACGGGAGUCUGCAGUGGGGAAUAUUGGACAAUGGGGGGAACCCUGAUCCAGCCAUGCCGCGUGUGUGAAGAAGGCCCUCGGGUUGUAAAGCACUUUCAGUGAGGAAGAACGCCUGGUGGUUAAUACCCAUCAGGAAAGACAUCACUCACAGAAGAAGCACCGGCUAACUCCGUGCCAGCAGCCGCGGUAAUACGGAGGGUGCGAGCGUUAAUCGGAAUUACUGGGCGUAAAGCGCGCGUAGGUGGCUUGAUAAGCCGGUUGUGAAAGCCCCGGGCUCAACCUGGGAACGGCAUCCGGAACUGUCAAGCUAGAGUGCAGGAGAGGAAGGUAGAAUUCCCGGUGUAGCGGUGAAAUGCGUAGAGAUCGGGAGGAAUACCAGUGGCGAAGGCGGCCUUCUGGACUGACACUGACACUGAGGUGCGAAAGCGUGGGUAGCAAACAGGAUUAGAUACCCCAGUAGUC